AGCUCUCCAUGCUGGCUGUGUGGCCAGCAUACCUCCUGCCUUUUCAACGAUUCCUCUGCCCUGGAUAGAGAGCGGUGUCUCAUAACAGUUUGGAAACUACAAAAGUUUCCCUGGCAGGAUGAAUGAUUGACUCGGCAACAUGUUCUUGCCUUUUGGAGUUGCCCUCCAAUUUUUCCAGGCUUGAUUCUGUAAAUCAUUUCAUCUUGUAAAAAUACUGGGCUGUGAGCACGGAUGAUCUCAAAGAUGAGGAAACAGAAGCUGGGAUAUGUGAGUAAACAUUUCCAAGGUCCUGCAGCUAAUCAAUGGUUGACAACUUCUUUCCUCUGCCUAUGUUGCCAUCCAUGUCAUGGUUUGUGUCAAGACUCUAGGAGAAGUCUACCAUCAGCACCACAGCUACUGUGCACAAAUCCAGAAUGCCAGACUGAAGUCAGAAGGAAAGAUCCUUUAUAUAUUGAAAGAAGAAAGUAGAACCAUUUCUGGGUCCCAGCUGUGGGAAGAGCUCCUGUGGCUGUGAAUUCUGACUUCUGGGUCUUGGCACAAGGUGUGGCCAGCAAGCUAAGCUGUCCUGAGGGUGUGCAGGGCCAGGGGCUGAAGACAGUGUUGGAGCAUCCACAGACUGGUUUGUCUCAAGAAGCAUGUUACUAAAUAUGAAAUAGCAAAAUCUGCAAGUGGGUUUACUUUUCCCCCAUAGAUUAGAAUGGAUUCAAUAUUAUCUCUUUAUUAGCGUCACUUUUAAUCACUUGUAUAACAAGUAGGACAGAAAGGUGGCUUGAAAGUCAAUCAUGUGAGAAUUCCAGAUAAAUUGACUUUGCUCACAACAAUCUGUUAUUCAUGUGACUAUCAACUGUCAUGUGUGCUGGGGCAAAAAAAGAAGAUAAGGAUUCACUGGUAUCAGAUAGUUCCAGGAGGGGAAACCCAGGAUUGAACUUUUUCAGCCUUCUAUGGUAAAAUUUCCUGCUCUGUCGGUGCGCCAAAGCUUUUUUCAGUUUCCUAAACUCCCAUAUUCAAGAAGAUAAGCUAUUUUCUCUUCUUUCUCAUCCUUCCUUGACAAAGCAAAGCAUAUUUUCAUUGUCUACUCUGUGUCAUCCAUGCUUGGUUCCUGUCCUCAAAGAGCUUAUAGUUCAAAUAAAGGAGAGGGAGCAUUUUACAAGGGAAUUAAAGGUAAAAGAUUCUGAAAGCCAGUUUAAAAAGUCGUGAGGGAGGGGUCUGGGAGAAGCUGAGCAGGGGUGAAAGGGUACGAAACAUUAUGGAAGGAGAACAGGGGAGCACCCUGACUACUGGGUGGAAACACCAAUCAGUGGGUAGAAACCACACAGUGGUAACACUGAUCAGUGGGUAGAAAACAAUGACAGCAGGUAUAUGAGGCAUGGAACACUUGGCUUAUUGUAAAGUUUUCAAAAUAUGCAGUCCUUUCUAUCCACCAGGGGUUGGGAGUUGUCUUUGUAUAUCAACCGUGGAAGGGCUGUUUUGGUUCAUCAUUCUGUGGUCUACCUGGGUAGACCUGAUGCAGCCGUGUUUCUGAGGAAAGGAAGAACAGCUUUUGUUUUGUGAUAUGUAAUGGUAGAUGUAGUGCCAUGGAAUGAUGCAGAUUUCAUUCAGAUAUUCUUGGAUCUUGGCCCCAGGACUCACUCAUUCUUCCCUAUAUGAGCAUUGGUAGUUACAGGUUUUAUCCUUCCUUUAAUUGUAAGUCUUUUGAAGCCAAAAACUGUAUCCAAUUUGUCACUGUCUCCUAACAGUACUUAGCAGUGUCUGAUGCAUCAUAGGGAGUUUGUAAAUGUUUGGAUAAAUAAAGGGAAAACAAAAACAACCACAAAAAAACCUUUAUUUUGCUUUAAUAAAAAUAUUUUAACUAGUUUCCACUGGCAUAUAUAUCCACAUGGUAGAUAUAUUCUAAGAAACAGUCUCUUCAAAUGAUGGCUUCAAUAAUGGAUGAAAAAUAAAUUUCCUAAUGAAUUAUUUUACAGAAAGCACCACACACACACCCCCAACAUCAAUAAAAAAUUCAUUUGUGAUUUUAAGAACUAUAGGAUAAUAAUAGGUAAUCCAUGUGAAGUUAUGACAGCUUGUAAGGCCAGGGAGGGCACGAGGAGAUGAAACACACAGAUCAUCUUCAAACCACAGAAGCUCAGACUUCUCUUGCUCUGAAAGUUGACGAUCAGUGAAAAGCCCACUGAUAGCUGAGUUUUACCUCCUCUUCUUCUGUAUAAUCCCUUUUUUGGUGAAAGCAGAGAUGUCAUGGACAAUGUAGGAUUUCAUCAAAUCUGAGAGGCCAUUGAUUAUAGGACGGCAUUGUUUUAGGUAUCACUAAGAAAGAAAAAAGCCUUGCCAAGUAAACUCCCCAAAUUCAGAGACAUUCAAAUGUUGAAAAAUAACUGUUUCAGAAUCUAUGAAAUACAGACAAUUCUCCCUAAUGCUUGGCCCAGGGCUUUGCAUACCAUAGGUGGUCAAUAAGCAUUUGUUGACUGAGUGAAUAAUGUUGACAAGCAGAAAUGCCUGGUUUAUAAUGCCUAGAGCCCAUCACUGAGAACAGUGGGCUAGAUCCCUUCUUGAUGUUUUAAGUAAUCGCUGAGAGAAUGGGUGGGCGAUUGCUCUUCUGAUUGCUAAGAACAAAACAAAACACAAAACUGAUAAAAAGCAGAGUUGCAGAACUGCAUCCUGUUGAUGUACUGCCAGAGGAGUCAGGCCUGGAGUACUGUUCACUAAGAAAUAGUGACUUUUGCAUCCUCGACGUCCCAGUCAUACACGGGCUUUUCUCUGAAUAAUCAAAGAAGGGAUUAUUUUGUGUAAGAAUGGACAAAUGAGUGUGUGAGUUUGUGUACGGUAAGGAAGGCAGGUAGAUAGAAAUACAUAAAAGAGUAAAAAAUUUCUUAAAAAAGCUCACUGGGUUUAACACAUGCAUCAUUCACACAUCAGAAACCAAUAUACACUUGCGACUCUGUACCCACAGAACUCAGAACUGCAGCUUGCAACUCCAUGUCUCCGCACAGUGAUAAAUAUGGGCAAUAUUAAUGUCAUCUUCUAAGCCCCCAAAAAUAUAGCUGACUCUGUUCAACAGAGCUGGUCAGACUGCGGCAGAUAAAUCAUAUUCAGAUCAGAACUCCAUGUACACAUAAUCUUUGGGGCAUUUGCAAAGUCUAGGGGCAUGCAGUGACAGAUCUGGAUUAUUGAUAUCACUCUGUAGCCUGUCCUCCUUGAGUUUUUUUUUCCUACCAGUAAUAAGGAUGGAUUCUCUGACACUGACCUCCUUAUAAAUUGGCUUCUAGUUCAUCUUUCCAGAGGUGCCACCAGAGAACCAAGAAGCAAUUUCAAUUAAGAGUACAAUUAGGGAACAUACCUUUUGAAAUAUUAUUUUUUAGUUUUUACUCAUUUUCAAUAGUGGUUGUGCAAGACCCUCUUAAGACCAUUUCAAUUUUCAGGAGGUUACUGCAAGAGUCUCACUGGGCUUAUCUGACUGUGUUAAACAAGGGCAGAGCUUAAGAGUUUGAUCACUGCUAGGCUCUUUAACAGGAGGAUCUGUACCGGAUCCCUGUGGGUAUUUCUGUGGGACCUGGCACAGGUUUUUGAACCUAGUAUCUGCUCAACUGAAAUGUAUUAAGUAAAUGAAUAAUGAAUAAAUGAUGCUAAGAAGCACAAGCCUCUUGGUACCACUGUAGCAAUUAAAGACUUUUAGAGUAUAUAAAUUUUUCUUCCUAAAAUGCAUUCUGAGGAGAGUAGAUAGGUAUUAAUGCAAGAAAACGAACACGAGUCCAAAAAAAUUGUUGAGCAUUAGUGGAUUCAGCAAGGAUUUUUAAUCUCUUUUUCUUAGAUUCCCCUGAAAGAAUUUUGAAACUAUGGACCCUGUCACACUUUUAAGUUAGCAUCUAAAUUUUUUAAAUCACAAGUUGUAACAGUUACAAAGGACGCAAUUUCUGGCAUGUUUGACAGUUAUGAAGGACGCAAUUUCUGGCACAUUUCUACUGUUAUAUCACUCUUUUAUUUAUUUUUUUUAUUUUUUGAGAUGAAGUCUUGUUCUGUCACCCGGGCUGGAGUGCAGUGGUGCAAUCUCGACUCACUGCAACUUCCGCCUCCUGGAUUCAAGCAAUUCUCCCACCUCAGCCUCCUGAGUAGCUGGGAUUACAGGCAUGCACCACCACACCCAGCUAAUUUUUUUGUAUUUUUAGUAGAGCUGGGGUUUCGCCAUAUUGUCCAGGCUGUUCUCGAACUCCUGGCCUUAAGUGAGCUGCCCGCCCAAAGUGCUGGGAUUACAGGCUUGAGCCAUCACGCCUGGUCUAUAUUACUCUUUUAAAUGUAUCCACAGAACCUAAGUAUCAUAACAAUUUGAUGCCUAUCUCACUAUUUUAAAAAAAAUAUAGAAACAAGCUCUUGAAAUUUUACAUUUCUUUAUCUCUAUAAAUGCAUUCUUUAUAUUCUACUUUCUCCAUAUGGUUUUAUCUUAAUGAAAUGUAUUGUCAUACUUAAAAGACUUUUCUUGAACAUUUUACUUCUCUGCAACGAAAAUAUGUAUCAAAUUUGAAAUUAAUAGUUUUAUUCAUUGUGCCCUUAAUCUUUUGUAUUAAAAAUUCUACCACUGAUAUUUAACAAACAACAAUAUAAACUUUAAUAAAAUUAUUAAGCAUGAAAAGUAAAAGUACUGGAUAUUUAUCUCUUAAUGAGGUGGAAGAGGCUGUUUGUUAAAAUCGGAAUUCAAACAAGGUUCACACAUGGCAAUUUGUUGGUAUGUCUCUUAAAUCUCUUAGCCUUUCUUAGUCUUUAAAUAUCUCCCCUACAGCUUCCUUCUCAAUUUAUUAAAAAUAUCAGGGCCUUUUUCCCUGUAUUUCCCAGUAAAUUAUUAGUUAAAGCUAGAAGCAUGAUCAGACUCAGGUUCACCUUUCUGGUGAAAUAUUUUAGGCAAUAAUGCUACCUUUGCAUACCUUUCUUAACCUUUCAAAUUUAAGUCUGUAUCUGCCUUUCAAUCCAGUCUCCACACUCCCUUGCCCAAAAAUCUCUGGCACUGGAAAAGUGAGGCAACACAGUUAAGGCCAAGGCUAUCAAGCACUCAGAUUAUUCCAGAUUGAAAGUUUGGUCAUCCCAUCAGGUAAGAGCCUACCUGGCUGAGUUGCUGGCAGUGGGUAGAGACAACAUAGGAAGGGUGGGGAGAAGGCAGCUGUGAUGACCAAGUUGGGCUUCCUGACCAGUUACAGAAGUGGGAACUGAAGUAGGGUCCUCAACUCUACUUCUCUUUGUGUAUUUCCCCAAGUCUGAGAAAAGUACAGAUGCAGAGAGGACCUUCAGUAGGAUCAGAAGUAGUGGCCAUUGCCAUCCUAGGUCUCAGAGAAGGGCAAUACUGUUUGGGGGUGUGGAGGAAGGCAUAUAAAACAUACCUAGGGUGGCCAUGGGCUUGUCUACUUCAGUCUCCUCUGCAGCUGGAGUUACAGGCAUGACUGUUGUCCUAAAUGCACACAUCUCCCGAAACGAGCAUUAAGUCUCUCAGACAGGACUACCCAAACUCUUUAGGAAGAGCAGAAACAUUUCCUAUGCUGUAAUUGAAUAGAUACAGCUAUCUCCAUGAAUUCCAUGUCAUGUUGCUUGGUUCUUUCCUCUACAUUCUUCUCUCCACAUAUUCUUUCUCCUCUUUGGGAUUUGGAUGGACAUUCCCUUAGUUUUCAAGAGAAAAAGCUGAAGAUUACUAUUUGAAUAAGGCUUGAUUAUGUUCUUAGCCAAGGGUCCUUGAUCUCAUUUUCUUUUCUGGGAGAGAAGGAAAAGGGCUUGUUCUUCCUUAUAAAGCUUGGAAAUCCAUUAUCCAAAUUGCACAAGAGAUCAUAUCAAUGUGUAGCUAGCUGUACCAACUAAAUAUAUGUUUCAAGUAUUUGGAGAAAGUGUUUUGUGACAAGAGGGAGGUAAAAAAUAAAAAGUGGGAAGAAAGAAAGGUCAUAAAGGGAGUGAGAAAUGAAACAGAAGAAGUUUGUGGCAUAACCAGCAGAUGAUUACUAUUCUUAGCUCCACUUCCAUACUGAUAUUGAAAUGACUUCUUAUUUCCGACCUCAUGGGAAAGACUAUUUUCUGGGGCAUCACUAGACUGCUGCUCUGGCUUUUCCAGCAACCUGUUUACAUUGAGGACAGACAUUCAGGAGAGCCAGCUGAGGGUUCUAAUUUAAAGUGCUCAACAUUAGCUUUCCAAUGCUGAUUGCAAUUAUUCACCCUACUUGACCUCACUGCCUGAUAGGAAAUUACUCUUUGGAGUAAUAAGAGUAAUAUUUCAUGCUUAUUUCAUGAUAAGAAAUCACCCUUUGGAGUAAUAUGCAUCCUGUUUAAUAAUGCAAGCACUCUGAAAAAAGCAUUGAGUUAAAGUCUCAUAGCUCUCCAUGCCUUUCCUCCUAUUAGAAGGUGAGUACAGGUACCAGAGGGGCGGAGAGGUGGAGGGUUUAGAGAGGGACAAUUUGGGGUAUGGGCCACUUCCAGAGAGGCAGUGUCAGGAUUGGGCCCAUUGUGGGUUUUGUCAGAGCAUGAGAGCCCUUGCUGGAGUAAUUUUAUGAGCUAAUGAAGUAAAAUCAAUAAACCGAGAAUGUGGUAAAAUGUCAAAAAAUUGAGGAGAUUGAAGUAUAAUACCCCAAUAUUUUUCCAGUAUAACAAACACUGUUAUUUCAUAAAAGAGAGGACAUUUCUUGCCCUUUUUUCUUGCCGUUGGUGAUAUUAAAAAGUAAAAAAGUGAGUCUCAAUUGCUUAAACCUGGGAGGCGGAUGUUACAGUGAGCUGAGAUUGCACCACUGCACUCCAGCCUGGGCAACAGAGUGAGACUCCAUCUCAAAAAAAAAAAAAAAAAAAGUGUGAGUCUGUGGUCUUUGAAUAAAUGGCCUUUUUUCCCAAGAAAGAACAUUCAUAAAUUUAUAAUCAUACACACAUACUAUAUACAUACACAUAUAAGAUAUAUCUAAUAUCAUUGCCCUUAUUUUUCUGGGUCCAUAAAAGCUUUGUUAUAAACCUGCAUUUGGAAGCAAGUGGCUUAGAAAAUACAGUUAUCAGGUCAAGAGAUGGAGACCAGCCUGGCCAACAUGGUGAAACCCUGUCUCUACUAAAAAUACAAAAAUUAGCUGGGCAUGGUGGCGUGUGCCUGUAAUCCCAGUUACUGGGGAGGCUGAGGCAGGAGAAUCGCUUGAGCCUGGGAGGCCGAGGUUGCAGUGAGCUGAGAUCACACCACUGCACUCCAGCCUGGCAACAGAGCAAGACUCCAUCUCAAAAAAAAAAAAAAAGAAAAAAAAGAAAAGAAAAUACAGUUAUCACUUAUAAAGAGUUUCUGAAUAUAUCAUGUAACAUGAUUUAUAAAUAUGUCAGAAUUAUGCAUAUGAAAUACAUAUCAUAUGUAGUAAUUAAGUACUGUCUACCAAGAGUUUCCUUUGUAAAAUCACUCUAGUCUUUUAAUAUGGAAAUACUAUAGUAUGUGUUGUUAUAAAUCAUAAAAGCAUGGUUUAUUGUUCAACAAGAGCUUAUAAUGUAAUAGCAGUUAUAUUAUCUCCUUACUCUUUGGUGGAACAUAUAGACUGAUAUGAUAAUCCUAUGCAGCCAGACCUGAUUGAUGUGGCAGUCAUUAUUGUAGCAAAGUGAGGUUAAAGCUUUAAAGCUAAGUAAGGGAGCAAAAGUAACUGCAAACUAUAUUGCACUUGAGCUCACUAUGAAACCAAGUGCAGUUCCUGCACAAGGAGAUUGUUAUGUGGAUUGAAUGCAUGCAUUCCACCUCCUUCUGUUAUUUUUCAGGGGUUCCUUUUCUGAGCCAGUACUCCUAGCUUGAAUAUCACCUAACCCAGAGAGUGGUAGCUAGCCCUUUCUUUGUGUCCUUUCCUCCUGCCUUGACCAUGAAGGAGGAAGGUUCAUAUCUUGGCCAUUAGAAAGUUAAUUGCUCCAUUGUCCAUCAGCUGAGCCCCAGGUGGUGAUUAUGAAUGAUGCCAGAGAAUGGGAUAAGGCAAACCUCAACCAGGGAGCUAAGAAAGCUUGAGAUGGUAUAAUGAAGAGUGUUCUGUUGACCUAAUCAAUUGAUUCCUUCUAUUAACCAUUAUUUUGGGCCCUUACUUUAUGCCAGGAACUCUGCUAGGCACAGGGAAUAUGGAGAAGUAUCAGGCCCCUUAAAGAAUUCAUAAUUUAGGAAAGGGAAUGUAUAAGAUGAAUAAUGUAACACUGUCUGAUAGGGGAUGAGCAACUUAGCAUAAAGGGAGGAGAGGGAAGAUGAUCAGGGAAAGCUUUAUUCAUUUAUUCAACAGUAUUUUUUGGGUGCCUAUUGCUGUCCUAGGACUUAUUCAAGGCACUGGGGCUACAGCAGUGAGAAUAAGACAGGUUAGGUUUUUUUGUUUCUUUGUUUGUUCCUCUCACGAAGCUUACAUUGUAGAGGAGGGAGACAGGCAAAAUGCAACAAGAUGCUUGACUUGCAUCUUCUUACUGGCACUUCAGCUUGAGAAAAGAGGAAGUUCAAAGAGGACAGAGCUUGAGGCGGCAGGGCCAGGUGGAGAGACUAAGAACUUGGUGAAGCCCAGUAAUCAUUUGAGAGUUUCGUUCCAAGUACAGAACCUAAAUCAAACUGGCUUAAGUAAAAGGGAAACGUCUGGCUCAUGGAAUUUAGUAUUCUAGAGAGUAGCUGGCUUUGGGCUCAGCUUGCGGUAAGAGUUAAGAUGGUAUCAAAGAGACCCUGUGUCUCUCCACCUCUUCAUCUCAGCUCUGAUCUGGCCCAUAGUGGCCUCAUUCUCUAGACAACUAUGGAUAACUCCCACCUCAUGUCCUUAGCUCUGGGAGCUCUGGUGGAGAAGAGAGAAUCUUACUUCUCUCUUGAUGGUAUAAGCAAGUCUUUUCCAGCACAUGGCUCUGAGGGAUCACACGCCCAGCUCUUACGUGGAAUGGGAUGCUCUAAUGGGCCAGUCCUGAGUCACAUGCCUUCUGCUGGAGCCAAGAGUAUCUCUCCAGGAGAAAAUCCGUGCGUACCCAAAGAAGAGUGAAUGCAUGAAAGUAGCCAAAAAGUCAUCCCCAGCAUAGCAGCUUCAUAAACAGUUCCCUGGGUGUUAGGCUGCGUGUCAGAAUAGAAUAUAAUAAGUACAGCCAAGGUUAAAAGGCAGAUGAGUGCCACCCAAGGAAGAGACCAGUGCAUGAUUAGAGGCUGCUAGCUGAGCAAACACACACCAGCCUCCUUGGUUCUCCUGCAUUCAGUUCUCUUACAGCAAGAGAGUAGAGACAGUGUGCAUGAGAUCCAGCUGGCAGUGCAUUGCCCCUAGGGCCAUCGAUCCACCCUGCAGCAAAAGUGGGUGAUGUGGCUACAUGCACCCCACUUUGUGGAGAAUAGAAGGACCCCUCCCCUUCCCCCAUGGGGGUCUGAAUUGCAGAAAAGGGGUGGCGGGGGGCAGGUGAGGGGACAUGCCUGAGGGCCAUCCAUGCCUGCGCCUAAGCAGUACUCAUUGAGUUUGAAAUAGAGGAAGAUUCCUGCACAAGGUGAUGAGCCCAGCACAGGCUAUGAGGGCCCCUACCUCUUGGUAAGGAAGAGCUCUAGGCCCAAGGCCCAUUUUUAUGUGGCCAAGCAGAAUCACAAAACUGCCCACACUAGACUGCCUUUCCCAAUACCAGGCUGCUUUUCCAGGAGUAGAAGGCUUUAUGUUGCAAAAUAAGGAAUUUGGGCAUUAUUAUAUGGGGAAUGGGGCAGCUCAGCGAGGUUGGAGAACAGAGUGGUUACAUCAAGCAGUCUUGAACCAGGCUACCUGGGGUGGAAUCCAAACUCUGCUACUUAGUGCCAUGUGACUUUAGGCAAGUUAUUUUCCUUCUCUGUGCCUCAGUCUUCUCAUCUAUGAAACGAAGGUGAUAGCAACAAGUCCCAGUGAAUAGGUAUUUUAUGAGGAUUCAAUGAGAUAAUAUAUGCGAAGUGCUUAGAAUAGUGACUGAUCCCUUUAAGGUUGCUGUUCUAUUGGAGGGGAUUUAAGGACCAAAUAAAAUGAUAGACCACAGAACUAGCUGGUGGCAGUUCUGUGACCUUGGUGAGCCAUUGCUUGUUUCUGAGCCUCAGUCUCUUCCUCGACAAAAUAUGGAGGUCAAAUUAGACACUGUCUGAGAUCUCCUUGCUCUGAUGAUCUUUAGCUGUAGUUGCAAUGUGGCAACGGACUUGUGUUUGAACUUUAAAAUGAGCCUUGGUGCCUUGCCCUGCCCUUUCAAAGAAAGGGUACUGACAGCUCAAAAGGAACCAAAGUUCUUUAAACAAAAGAGCUCACCUGACUGUCCAAGGUAAUCCAGAGAACUCUCAUGAAAAGCCGCCUUCCAAUGCUAGGAGCAAAUGCCCACUUUUCUCUAAGAAACAGAUGAGAGCAAGGAUGUCUGAUGGUUUUUGAGUUUACACAAACCGGGUCCCCCCCACUCCUACAAUCUUUUGAGCAUCUCGAGCCAAAUGAAUUCUUGAUGUCAGCAAAAUUUUACCUAUGUUAUGCAAAAGCCAUCACCAGAAACACAGAGAAAAAGACAUAAAUAAUGCAAAUUGAGCAUCCAUCUUAGCCUUGGCCAGAUGAAGUGGGGGUGGGGGCUGCAAUUAGCAAGUUGGGGCCCAAAAAUGAUCAUUGUGCUGCAUAAUCUAUGGGAGGAAUCUUGUUAGACCUGCACAUUUGCAAGACAGAAAUAUCGUGCUUGAUGAAAGAGAAGGACAAAUACAAAUUGUGAGGGACUGUGAAACAAGGUAGGAGGAGACAUAAACAGAGACGCAGAGAACGGCCAGAGAGAGGAUGCACUCACAAAAGAUGGGAGACAAUGGAAGCCCUGCCCUUGAAGUCCUUGCCAUGGCGUCUUGAUCAAGCUGUUGAUUCUAUUUGAGCCUAAAUUACAAAGGACUGUGAAUUAUAUGUGGAAAAUUGUCUGGGUGCAUCCCUUAGCAGAUGGGAAAACUGUGAUGGCAAAUGAAAUUAGCAGGCUGCCUUGUGGAACGAGCUCCUGCACGUGUUCAGAGUCUGCAUGGGGUACAAAUGCCAGGAUCAUCAGGAACAAAAUAGCCAUUAAAAAAAAAAAACACCCUUUUUCUUUUCUCAAGAUUUAAGAGGCCGAUUCCCUUUUUCCAAGAAAUUGCCAACUGGUUUUAAUUCUUGGAGAUUUGGCGAGGAGUAGGUGUGAGAGGAGGCUGGGAGACUUCUCCGCUUCCUCACUGCCCAACCUGGUCACCCUGAAUUUCAUGAUCAUCUCCAGGGACUUCAGCACUGGGCACAGAGACAACAGCAGAAAGGAACAGAAAGUCAGCUGUCGCAGGAGUGAAGCCUGCUCCUCUCCUUCAGGGGGCAAUGCUGGCCAAAAUUAGUGGUUUCUGCUGAAAUCACAGUAUGAAACUACACUUCCUUAGAGAAGGAAGCGUAGGAAUUCUCUGUUCCACUUGAGGAACAGAAAAUGAGCUUAGGGAGCUCCCAGCAGCCAGCACAGCAAAAACCUAAAGAGAAUGAUACUCACCAAACAGCAUGGGGAGGCAGAUGGGGAACUCUCAACAAUCACCCAUCUCUGAUCAGUAGCCUUCUGCUCUGCCAACUAGGGUUUCCACAAAGUCUAGAAUUUUUUGGACACAGUUUCACUAGACUUAUAUCCUAAAGUGUGUUAAAAGCCAGCAGAUAGAAAUUCAACAUCAUCAUAAUUAUUAAAAUAAACAUAAUAAUGAUAACAACUCUAACUGCGAUCAUCAAUACACAAGCACGAUGAGAGUUAUUACUUUCUUAAUGCUUACCAUGUGCCCAAUACUAUGUUAAGUACUUUAUAUGCAUUUUCUUAUUUAAUUCUCAAGACUUUGAGGUGGAUACCUUUAUUAGUUCCUCAUAAAAAGUGAUGAAACUGUGGUGCAAAGAAGAGAAAUGACUUUCAAAUGUCGUUGUGGUAGAUUGAUUGCAAGGUGGCCAUAAUUCUUCAUUAAUCCUGGCAUCCACACUCUGCAAUGUGACUUCACAGCUUUUGACUGUUCUUAUGGCUUCCGUUUGGACAAUAGAACGAGGCUUUGCUGACAGUGUCCUAGUUCUGAGCCUAGGUCUCAAGAGACCUCCUACUCUUCUGCUUUUUCUCUUGGAAAUUUCUGGGCUGCCAGGUGUACAAGCCUGGACUAGCCUGUUGAAGGAUGAGAGACCACGUGGAGCCCAUAAGCCAUUCUAGCAGAGACCAUUCUAGACCAGCCAGCUUCCUGAAGACAUAUGAGAAAGUCCAGAUGAACUCAGAUGAGCCUGGCCCAGAUUGGAAGAACCAUCAAACUGAUUGCUGACCCAUGAGCAAUAAUGGAUAGUUGUUUUAAGCUACCAAAGUUUGGGGUGCGCAUUACACAGUAACAAAUAACUGAAACAAUGGCCCAGGUAAUACUAUUACUCUAAAUUAGGUUUCCUUACUCCAAAGCCCUUUGCCUUUAACCUCUAGUCGCUAGUGACACACUCUCAUGCACUCCACCUUGUUUACCAACACCAUCUGCUCUAAUUUGGUCUUUCUCUUUCCAGUAGGUUCUGGUAGCAUCAAUUACUGUUUGCCUAUGAUAUUCAUUUGCUAGCAGAACCCCAUGAGACAUGGAGAGAGAUCCCUAUUCCAACUCUAAGGGCAAAUCUUGAUUUUAAAAGCCAGCAAUGGUGGCUGCAAUCCCUUCAAGGACCAUUAAUCAGGGGUGAAUAUGUGACCCCUUUCUGACUAUGAGAUAGGCCCACACGCCAACUGGGGACAUCUGGGAAAGGUUUCCUCUAAGGACAGAAACACCAGAAAAUACAGCUUUUUAGAUUUUGUAUGCUGCCCACCAUCUUGCAACAAUAAGGGGCCCUGACUGAGGCUGAAGCUAAGCUGAGACAGGCACAGCACAGACAUGGGAGAAACAUGGAACCCUGAUGAGAUCACCAGGACAGAGGUUGAAUCAAGCCUGGGAUUCACACUACUCUUCUUUUGAACUUUCGCUUCUGUUAAGUCAUUUGAAUCUUUCUGUUUUUUCACUUGCAGACGAAAGCAUCCUAAUGGUUAGAGUUCCCAUCAUCGGUUAAAGGGAACCCAGCCACUUGCUUGUCCUUUAUUUUCUACAAAAACCAAAACCAAAGUGCACACAGAAGCUUAUUCCCUGGAGGCAGGCCCCAACUUCUGGGAGCCCCGUGCUUAAGACAUGUCUUGGCGCCUUUUGGUUGACUACGGCAGUAAGCAGCUGCCUCGAGCCUCAGAGCAGGAUGACUGCAGGAUGGGAGUAAAGGGCGAGAAGUUUUGAGAAGUGCUAGGACCAUGAUUGACGUGUGGUCAGAGAUCCAAGGAAGCAAAAAUGUUCCAGCAGUGUGUGUUCUCAGAGGCAAUCUCUCUUUUGGUUGGUCCCAACUUUUUCUCCCCAUUCCUGGACUCCCAGGAAGCAUGUGGUAUGUGUCUUUAUUUAGGGGUGACACUCAAAGUAUUUAAGUACUGUUAUGGCACAGAUGUGGACCAAUUAAAACAGAUGGCUACUGUGGUGCUGGAGAGGGGCUUAGAGACUUAAGUUUUUGGGUCAUGGGCAAGUGCACAUGUAGUCAGAGGGGAGUCAUCCUGGAGAAGGGGUCAGGGCAGAAAGUGUAGAAGAUGGUGGAUGGAUCCUGGGCAGUCAGGAGGGCAUUUACCAACGAGUCUGGACUUAUCUUCCAAAAUGUAACACAAAUGUUAACAACUUAUUCAGCCACAUUGGGGCAUACCAGGCAGGAAUCUAUUAGAAUGCAUACCAUAUUCUCUAUGUUUGUCUGUUCUGCCAGCCUGUGUACUUAGGCCAGGGGCAUUGUGAUGCUGACAUAUUAACACAUCUCUGGCACCUAGCCCUAUCUGCAGCACAUAAGCCAUCCCAGAACAGCUGCAUUUACUUUUUAAUAAAUUAAAUUGAACAGAAUUGACAAUUUAAACAUUGAGACCCAUCCAUGUUGUCUAGUCCAGAUUCCAAACAUAGAGGAAUCUGACUGGUCAUGCCAUUUCCCUUUGAAACAAUUAUUUUUUUGGAGCAGGGUUAUGGAGAGUUAAGGUGACCUCUGAUGUUCCGACCUCUUUCACCCUGAGAUAUCGCAAGAUUCAACUGUCUCAUUGGGAAGAGCAGAUGGUGGAGGGAACUGGGGUAGAGCAGCCCAUGGCCAGCCUCCAUCACCCUCAGUGAUCCAACACUUCUCAUUUGACUGAGAAAAGGGCAUAAAACCCUGCCCCUCGCAAGUCUUGCCCUGAAAAACUCCCCAAAACAAGCCAGGAGUCCAGGACUUGCACACUGUGUAAAUCUCAAAAGUACCCCUGUGUACUAUUCAUCUUUCUUUCCCUGAACACCAAGCAGUGUCUGACCCAUGGCAGGGACUCUGGGACCAUCUGCUGAGAGCUCAAGUGAGUGAAUGAAUCAAUGAAUGAAUGAAUAAAUGAAUGAAUGGGGUGCCCUCCCUUGCAAGCAGUUUUGGUGUAGAGAACAUGAAAUAAACUUUGGAGUCAUAUUAAUUUGGGUUCAAAUCCAGGUUUUGUCAUUUACUGGCUAUUGACUUUGGGCAAACUCCUCAACUUCUGUAAAUGUGUUUCUCAUAUGCAAAUAGAUGUAAUAAAAUCAAUGUCAAGGGCUCACAAUGCCUGUAAAGUGCUUAGUAUAACACCUCUAAAUGCUCAAUAAAUUGUAACUACUUCUCUCUUCACUUUCUUCUUUUUCUUUAUUUCAUCUUUUGAGUUUUAACAUUAUUAGUAGUAGUAUUAAACUCAGAUAUUCUUCCCAUGUGUUAGAACAGCCUAGCUUGAGUUUCUUCACGUGAAUCAUGCCCUGAUAAGUCAUAUAAAUGGUGUUUCUGAACAAAGUCUUUGUUGUUCACUUAUAGCCGUUGAAUGUGCAUACGCUAAGGAAAAAGACCCACUUGAAACAAGCCUUGUAAAGAAUGUAAUGUUUAAAUGUAAUGGGCACCUCCCUUCACUUAUCUUCUCCCUCAUAAUUUUUAUUGAGCCCUUACAGUGUGCCAAGCCCAGUGCAAAGCUCUUUAUGAUCCUAUGUUUUUCCUAAUCUCUAGAACAGCCAGGAAGGUCGAUACCAAGGCAAUCUUCUUUUACUAAUGAGAAAACUGAGGCUCAGAGAUGUUAAAAGAUUAGGCUAAGAGAAUACAACCAGCAGAGCCAGUAUCACGAAUGUUAUGGUGGUCUCCCCAGUAUCCAUUUCUUCUUCCCCAGGGGCACUUCUGGUUUUGGUGUGAUCAGCUCCAUCCUCAACUCCAUUGAGUGACUGUAAUUGAUUUAAAACAACUGCGGUAAUCCUAUUUCUUUUGGACAGUGGUUUUAUUGGAUAGCUCAGAUAAACCAGACCUCAGCUAAUCAGUGCAGGACAUUACCCUAGUCAAUCCGAUUGGCGGUGUGACAACUGGCGGAGAGCAGUUGUCCCUCUUUUUCUCCUGCUGGCCCCUAAUGAAAAAGCAGUUAGCCUCACUUGCUGCUGGAGCCAGCCUGAAGCUUUGAGAGGAAUCGGGGAAUCAGUCUGAGGAUGGAGCUGAAACAGCAGAGUAGAGAGAAAAGGAACUACUGGUGACAUUGAGCUGCUGAACAACCAACCUGGAAGCGUCCUCUGCCUCUGCUCCAAUAUCAGCUACUAACUUUUGGUGUUAAAGCUGUUUCACUUGUUUUUUCUGUUACUUGCAAUCAAAAGCAUUCUAAAUGACACAGCAAGAUUGAAACCCAGGCUUAUCUGACCCCCGUGUGAAACCUCAUGUCCUACUGCUUUCCACUUUCCUAGCUGAUGGUCUUAAACUCACAUCUUUAUCAGCAGGCAGUAGCACCACUGCUGAGUCAGCCAGUCUGCAGCAUUUUUGGGGCAGUUUGUUCUCUGGCUGGAAGAAUGAAGUUCAAGAGGUAACUGGUGGACAUCUAAGGGCACUCUUUCAAAUUGGUGACUGGAGAUCAUUAGAACAAGCUGAAGGCUAUUUCUAGAUAUAAAGUAAUGAAAACCUCUUCUUGGGAUCAAUCCAGCCAAGGAAGGCUGUGGAGUAGGGCAGAUUUCAAUGAGGACCAGAGAGAAUGAAAUGUGGGCUCCAGCAGCACCUUGCCCCACAUGUGCCUCAUGAUGCAAAUGC
RNAcentral lists this long non-coding RNA (15992 nucleotides) under Homo sapiens (human). RNAcentral's name for it is "non-protein coding lnc-HNRNPA2B1-16:10". The record is from RNAcentral. Lineage: Eukaryota; Metazoa; Chordata; Mammalia; Primates; Hominidae.